CAGUCGAACGGACUUAACAUGAAACCUAGUGAUUGUUAAGUUAGUGGCGGACGGGUGAGUAACGCGUGGAUAACCUGCCGUAUGCGGGGGGAUAACAGUUGGAAACAGCUGCUAAUACCGCAUAAGCGCACAGUACCGCAUGGUACGGUGUGAAAAGAUUUAUCGGCAUACGAUGGAUCCGCGUCCGAUUAGCCAGUUGGCGGGGUAACGGCCCACCAAAGCGACGAUCGGUAGCCGGCCUGAGAGGGCGGACGGCCACAUUGGGACUGAGACACGGCCCAAACUCCUACGGGAGGCAGCAGUGGGGAAUAUUGCACAAUGGGGGAAACCCUGAUGCAGCGACGCCGCGUGAGUGAAGAAGUAUCUCGGUAUGUAAAGCUCUAUCAGCAGGGAAGAAAAUGACGGUACCUGACUAAGAAGCCCCGGCUAACUACGUGCCAGCAGCCGCGGUAAUACGUAGGGGGCAAGCGUUAUCCGGAUUUACUGGGUGUAAAGGGAGCGUAGACGGCGCUGCAAGUCCGGAGUGAAAGCCCAUGGCUUAACCAUGGUACUGCUCUGGAAACUGUGGAGCUUGAGUGCGGGAGGGGCAGGCGGAAUUCCUAGUGUAGCGGUGAAAUGCGUAGAUAUUAGGAGGAACACCGGCGGCGAAGGCGGCCUGCUGGACCGUAACUGACGUUGAGGCUCGAAAGCGUGGGGAGCAAACAGGAUUAGAUACC
This 716-nucleotide ribosomal RNA is filed under the name uncultured bacterium. Its description in RNAcentral is "bacterial SSU rRNA". It matches the Rfam family "Bacterial small subunit ribosomal RNA", at positions 59 to 786 of the family's 1533-position model. The record is from RNAcentral.